GACGAACGCUGGCGGCGUGCCUACCACAUGCAAGUGGAGCGACGAACCAGGGCUUGCCCUGGGGCCAAGCCGCGAACGGGUGAGUAACACGUGGGUAACCUGCCCCGAUGACCGGGACAACCCGAGGAAACUCGGGCUAAUACCGGAUGUGGUGGACACACUUAAGUGUGUCCACUAAAGGAAGCUUCGGCCUCCGCAUUGGGAUGGGCCCGCGGCCCAUUAGCUAGUUGGUGGGGUAAAGCCUACCAAGGCACGAUGGGUAGCUGGUCUGAGAGGACGAUCAGCCACACUGGGACUGAGACACGGCCCAGACUCCUACGGGAGGCAGCAGUGGGGAAUCUUGCGCAAUGCGCGAAAGCGUGACGCAGCAACGCCGCGUGAGGAAGACGGCCU
This 393-nucleotide ribosomal RNA is filed under the name uncultured bacterium. Its description in RNAcentral is "bacterial SSU rRNA". It matches the Rfam family "Bacterial small subunit ribosomal RNA", at positions 28 to 417 of the family's 1533-position model. The record is from RNAcentral.